Molecule: ribosomal RNA, 491 nt
Filed under: uncultured bacterium
Lineage: Bacteria
Description: partial 16S ribosomal RNA
Rfam family: Bacterial small subunit ribosomal RNA
Source: RNAcentral
AGUGAACGCUGGCGGUAGGCCUAACACAUGCAAGUCGAACGGCAGCACAGUAAGAGCUUGCUCUUACGGGUGGCGAGUGGCGGACGGGUGAGGAGUACAUCGGAAUCUACUUUUUCGUGGGGGAUAACGUAGGGAAACUUACGCUAAUACCGCAUACGACCUACGGGUGAAAGCAGGGGAUCUUCGGACCUUGCGCGAUUGAAUGAGCCGAUGUCGGAUUAGCUAGUUGGCGGGGUAAAGGCCCACCAAGGCAACGAUCCGUAGCUGGUCUGAGAGGAUGAUCAGCCACACUGGAACUGGAACACGGUCCAGACUCCUACGGGAGGAAGCAGUGGGGAAUAUUGGAAAAUGGGCGCAAGCCUGAUCCAGCCAUACCGCGUGGGUGAAGAAGGCCUUCGGGUUGUAAAGCCCUUUUGUUGGGAAAGAAAAGCAGCAGGUUAAUACCCCGCUGUUCUGACGGUACCCAAAGAAUAAGCACCGGCUAACUUCGU